Molecule: long non-coding RNA, 856 nt
Filed under: Prunus persica (peach)
Lineage: Eukaryota; Viridiplantae; Streptophyta; Magnoliopsida; Rosales; Rosaceae
Description: long non-coding RNA (PPER_LNC002091)
Source: RNAcentral
CACUAUGAACCAAUACGGUACUAUUACAUCAUUAAAGAACCCCAGGUCCUUAUUCACAUGUCAGGGAUCAAGGACCUUUAAGUCCAAUCACAUGUUUACAAGUAUAGUACCGGAGAGACUGCCAGCUCUCAUAUUAAUAUCAUCAUCAAGGAUCUUCAAGUCCUGAUGUAAUUGUAUGAUGAGGAUCAAGGAACUUCUGGUCCUAAUCUGCACACUGUAAAAACUCAUCAUACAGCACAAUUAAUCCAUAAAAUAAAUUGUUGAUAAAUAAAUUACUGGUAUGGACGAUAAACCCGCACCAUACUUUAAAUAAAUUAAAUAGCUUGCUGUAUGGACGUUAAUCCCGCAUCAUAUCUUAAAUAAAAUUAAAUGUGCGGUAAAGUAAACGUGCUUAUAUGGGCACUAAUUCUGCUCCAUACAUUUAAAUAAAAGCAAAGGCGUGGGCGAUAAACCCGCACCACCCUUUUAAAUAAAUAUUGUUGUAUGGGUAAUAAACCUACACCAUACAGUAAAUAAAAAAAUGUGAGAAUAAAAACCACCACUGAACAAGAUAAGGAAAGUGUUAGUAACGGUCUCCCACUGAUAAUAUGUUUAGUAUUACCAAGGGUCCAUUUUUGUUAAUGGUUAGUAAUAGAAAAGCAGAUAAAUAUAGUAUAUUAUAUUACCAUCAACUUUUCAUAUAUAUAUAAUAUAUAUAUAUAUAUUAUACUGAUAUAUUAGUGGAAAGCUAGAUGCGUUGGCUUUUCUUCUUUACAUCAACAUAAUGGUUAGUAUUAUAAAUAAUAGUGCAGCACAAAAAUUAUACCUGAGAGCUUCUCGUGCUGAUAACGUGUUAUAAAAUAACCUGGGAUAUGUG